GAUGAACGCUGGCGGCGUGCCUAACACAUGCAAGUCGAGCGAUUCUCUUCGGAGAAGAGCGGCGGACGGGUGAGUAACGCGUGGGUAACCUACCCUGUACACACGGAUAACAUACCGAAAGGUAUGCUAAUACGAGAUAAUAUACUUUUAUCGCAUGGUAGAAGUAUCAAAGCUUUUGCGGUACAGGAUGGACCCGCGUCUGAUUAGCUAGUUGGUAAGGUAACGGCUUACCAAGGCGACGAUCAGUAGCCGACCUGAGAGGGUGAUCGGCCACAUUGGAACUGAGACACGGUCCAAACUCCUACGGGAGGCAGCAGUGGGGAAUAUUGCACAAUGGGCGAAAGCCUGAUGCAGCAACGCCGCGUGAGCGAUGAAGGCCUUCGGGUCGUAAAGCUCUGUCCUCAAGGAAGAUAAUGACGGUACUUGAGGAGGAAGCCCCGGCUAACUACGUGCCAGCCGCCGCCGUAA
Molecule: ribosomal RNA, 468 nt
Filed under: uncultured bacterium
Lineage: Bacteria
Description: partial 16S ribosomal RNA
Rfam family: Bacterial small subunit ribosomal RNA
Source: RNAcentral